GAAUACAAAGCUAGAAAAUCAACUAAUUAAGGUCGGAAAGCAAGUUUAACGAGCCAAGCCCAGCAUCAGACUGGAAAUCAACUUAAGUUCCUCAAUAUUCUUCCUAGCAUCAAACAAACAGAUUGUCAACCAGGUCCAGUUGUGAGUAUUCUUAACCCUGACGGAACAUUAUCAAGUCUUCCAUUAGCAUUUUCAGGGAGCCAAGACCUCCC
This is a long non-coding RNA of Eurytemora carolleeae, 212 nucleotides long. RefSeq lists it as uncharacterized. The transcript has 3 exons. The record is from RefSeq and is a predicted model, not a curated record. Lineage: Eukaryota; Metazoa; Arthropoda; Copepoda; Calanoida; Temoridae.